CCCAGCACUUUGGGAGGCACAGCAACCUGCACGUUAGUCUUAUGCUCUGAUGGAAAUGACUUGCAUUAUGCUGCCGUGUGUUACUGUCAGGACUUGACUGGUGUGCUCACACU
Molecule: small nucleolar RNA, 113 nt
Organism: Phodopus roborovskii (desert hamster)
Lineage: Eukaryota; Metazoa; Chordata; Mammalia; Rodentia; Cricetidae
Product: small nucleolar RNA SNORA53
Exons: 1
Source: RefSeq, a predicted model, not a curated record